CCUACGGGAGGUAGCAGUGGGGGAUAUUGCACAAUGGGGGAAACCCUGAUGCAGCGACGCCGCGUGGGUGAAGAAGCGCCUCGGCGCGUAAAGCCCUGUCAGCAGGGAAGAAAAUGACGGUACCUGAAGAAGACGCCCCGGCUAACUACGUGCCAGCCGCCGCGGUAAUACGUAGGGGGCAAGCGUUAUCCGGAUUUACUGGGUGUAAAGGGGGCGCAGACGGCGAUGCAAGCCAGGAGUGAAAGCCCGGGGCCCAACCCCGGGACUGCUCUUGGAACUGCGGGGCUAGAGUGCAGGAGGGGCAGGCGGAAUUCCUGGUGUAGCGGUGAAAUGCGUAGAUAUCAGGAGGAACACCGGUGGCGAAGGCGGCCUGCUGGACUGCAACUGACGUUGAGGCCCGAAAGCGUGGGGAGCAAACAGGAUUAGAUACCCCUGUAGUC
This 440-nucleotide ribosomal RNA is filed under the name uncultured bacterium. RNAcentral describes it as "partial 16S ribosomal RNA". It matches the Rfam family "Bacterial small subunit ribosomal RNA", at positions 338 to 795 of the family's 1533-position model. The record is from RNAcentral.